CCGAAUUUAUGACUCUAAUUAAAUGCCGUUUACAUCCUCUAUCUCCAGAUGGAAGGAGGUGGCAAACACCCGAGUCUUUUCCAGCAUCUGCCUUGGCCUGAGGACGCUGCCUCCCUGCUUCCCACAAGACCAGCUCAGGGCUGUAGCGGCGGCCCGCUCCCAAGAAAGCUCGUCACCAGGGCUGCACAAUUUCAGAAAUAAAGCUGUACCACCUCUGGGAGCGGAGGCUCACCCGGUUGUUGGAAUAUCUCAGUCGAAGGCUCCCCUUUGCCUUGUGAGCCCAUACAAGACCAUUCGGAGGAGACCCUGGGAGGCUGUGGAUUUGCCCGGCCCUGGAGAGAACAGAGCCUGGACCCGUGUUGGGAGGGGGAAACGGAGGCUCUUCCUGACUUGAAAGUCUUUGCUGUUCCCUGUAAACAUGACGUCUCUCGCGUGGAACGGAGAAUCCAGUUCAAAGCGAGAAGGAGGUGGUGAGCUCGGUGGACAGUACCCAGGUUCUGGCACCAACCACGUGGCCUCGGUGCUGGUUUAGAACCCUGGAUCUUUGGCUGUUUGAUGAGACUGGUUCCAGGGGGCACCCUUGGACGCUGUCAGUUUGAAGAACAGAUCUGCGGAGUGUCUGAUUUAUAACUGACAGUCACGCGAAGGGAGGAAUAGCUUCACCUUGUCGUCUACCUACUCUGCGCCUGGUCCUUGUAAGGGAGGAGACUCACAGAGACAUUACAGAUCACAGAGGUACAGCUCUGGGGGAGCUGCGACCCCCGUCAGGCUCUGUUGGACCACCUGUCUAUGGGACCACAGUGCUUUGCCUCCCCUUGUCGGAGAGAGCCAGAGGGAAAAGGCCAGGGGUCAAGUGCUGCCCCUUCCCGCUCUAAAAUGCCUGUUUCUCUUGGCUGUGCGAGACCUUCAGAGCUGGUCAGCACAGUGCGGAGUGUUUGGCUGUGACGCAGAGCCCUGGGGACUAGCUCCGCCUGCCAGUCUGGGGCUGUAUGCUUGGCGGCUGUGGGAAUCAACCUCCUGAAACUUCUUCCCAAGAUGUGGACGGGGAAUGGGGUGCCCAGGUUCAUGUGGGAGUCGUGUUUAUGGUGCUCAGCCUCCAGAUGGAACGGAAACUGGUUCCAUCUGAUAUCCUGAUGUGCGGAGUGGGCGACAGGACAUCAGAAUAUUUAGACGUGCAGACAAUUGGCUGAAUUUGUAUUUAGUGUACAGGCAUUUAGAGACUCAGAGGUUGGGAUGAGGAGAGAAGAGACUGACAAAUUAUCUGGUGCGAUCCUCUCAUUUUACAUGUCAAAUAAAUGGAACCAGAAAGGUGAAACGCCUACCUAAACUCGCCAGCAAGAGGGUGGAAACUGUUAGCCUGGGCCAGUGUCCCGGUCAGCCACCUACCCUUCCAGAUGUGAGGGAGGCAUUGGUGCUGACUGUUCCUGACCCCAGUGAUUACAGGACACUAAUUACUGCCCCUGCCAGGGAUGCAGAGACACUGGACUCCAUUCCUGCAAUGCCUGGCUGUUGCCAGCUGCUGCAAAAAUUUCAAUCAAAGGGCUUCUCAUGGCCCCAAAGACUCUGCACCUUCCCCAGUGCCCCCCAGUGCCUGAGACUUGAAGAUUCGGAAUCUGUUGGCUCUACUGAUGGGUGGCAGGAAGGGUGGUCUGGAUCACAGGUGUGCAGUUGGUGAAAUGUCUUUGGCUCUCCCAUCUGCCCCUUGUAUGGAUGCCCUUCUGUAAGCGUCUCUUUUGGUGGAGGGACGCCAUCAGGAAAUACUUUGUACUAGAACAAUUGUUCUCAAAAGUGUGACCCUUGGCACAGUGCCAUCGACACCACCCAGAUCUACUAUUUGAACAAGUCCUUCGGGUAAUUUUGAUGCCUCCUCUUGAGGUAACCAACCAUUUUGACUUUGAACCCAACAACUCUUCCAUGAAGGGGCCGGCAAAGGUGGAGACCCAGGAGGUGGGCAGCUUGCUCGGGGCAGAGCCUCGAAGGCCCAGGGGUCCCGCCCCCGUGCCGCACACUCGCCAGGCUCACCCCCAGACAGAGGCUGGUUCUUUCAGAAAUGGACCGAAAAUGACCUCAGGCUCCUGAGCUUAAGGGGCUCCCUGACUCCUUCCCGAGUUUUCGGGCAUCCUAGGUAUCCAGUGAGACAGGACAACAGCUCAAAGCCGGCAGACGGGUCUGGGCUGGCCAGCCAGCUUGCUCUCUGUCAGCCGGGGUCCCUUUAAGACGCAGAACUGGGGAGGUCAAAUGCAGGCCAGUGGAAGUUUCCACGCUCCGUGUGUCUGGGCCCGCGUCUCUGUCUAUCUCUGCUGGGGAAGGGUGGGCCCUGUUCCCACAGGCCUGAGAUUUAUGACUUCAGUCUGGGAGGCGGUGUUGGCCUUUACUUCUUGGCAUGAACAAUGGUAAACAGAGUUGCAGAGAAAAUUUGGAACUGGUAUCCGUCAGCCUGAGUCAGACUAACUCUCUGGUUCUUUCUUUGUGAGUUGUGCAUGCGCGCGCGCGCACACACACACACACACACACAAUGUGCACGUGUGCCAGCUGUAAAAUGAGACAAGAGUCAUAGAAUGGUUGGCUUUGAGAUCUCAAAUACUCAACCCCAAUAAAUCACCAGACUCCCUUUGACCACUUAAGGCUUCAACUUUAGUGUCACCCGAAAAUAGCUUGAACACACACACACGCACACACACACUCUGAAAACCUUUCGCCUUGCCCCUAGCCCUCUCCAGCGCCUCUCAGAAACCUGGCCUUCUGAGUAAAGCUGGAAGUAUUUUCAGCCUGCCCCGUCCUGCAGUUAUCUGCUGAUGGAGAUAGACUCUCUGGCACCCCAGAUUUGCCCUUUAAUACCCUGAAAUAUUAAGAGGCAACAGCUGUAAGUACUGAAGGUUCACUUGGAGAUUAAAUGAGUCAAAGAUCAGUAGCCAACUGGCGGGAGACUUAAUUGUCAGGGCAGGACAUCUGGCCAGGUCAGAGAGACAGUGGUGUGGACGUGUGUGUGUGUGUGUGUGUGGUGGACGUGUGUGGUCCAUGUGUUGGGUGUGUGUGUGGUGUAUGUGUGUUCCCUGUGUGUGUGUGAGUGAUGACAGCAGGGAGACGGCUACCUUCAGCUUUCUACUUAGAGGUAAUUUUAAGUGGUCCCAUGUUUUCGGGGGUUUGGUCAAGGUUCUGUGCUUCUGGGAGAAUUACCCCCACUUUUGUCCAUUGAGGACAGUAGGUCACAGUGGUUUAAGACACAGACUCUGAAAUCAGACCCUCUGGCCCUGUUACUUCUACCUGUGUGACUUGGGCAAAUCCUCCCCUUCUCUGAGCCUCAAUUUCCUUGCCUAUAAAACGGGCAGGAUCAGAGAGUUACCAUCGGAGACUGCGGACCGCCUAGCGCAGGGCCGGAAAACUGAAGUUACUAUCAUUCCUUGAUAUUCUUCCUCAACUGACAUUUGAGUUAUUCCACAUCAUUUCCUCACCUGAAGCAAUGCACACAUUACCUAGAGCUCUUACUUCUCACACGGAGAUGACCCACACCCACUUUGUUUCCUUAAAGAAGUCGCACACAAGGUGUCACCACUCUGCCACUGAAGCAAAAAGUGCAUCUCCUCUGAACUCAGCUCUCGGCCUGGCACCUGGUGCUUGUGGCUUUAAAUGGGGGCAGGGUCAAAGGGCAGGGCUGGCUGAGUGAUUAUGACAACAGAGUGACCCCCAGGAGAGGCAGGACUCCAGCAGUUUUCAUCUGCAUCCUUUCCUGAGCCCAGGAGGGUGCUCUCUGCAGAGAAACCCAUCAGGUACACAGGCACAGCCCUGGACAGGAGCCCCAGGUGCUGGGAAGCACCUUGGACGUGGUGUCGGGAGCCCUGGGCAUGGCUCUGUGGUCUGUCCCUGACCGGCUGUGGAAGCUGGGCCCAGCUGCCUUGCCUUGUCGGGCCUCGGUGUCCUCUGCACAUCCACUAUCAGGCUUGGCUGUUCCUCCUGCAGACUUCAUGCUGAUCCCUGACUUCCCUCCCUGCACAUGCUCGCAGGGGCUCAUGGGCACACAACACAUGGCCAAGCAUACAGGCUCACAGAGGCACACGUGUACACACACACACACACAGGUGUGCUCUUCAGCCCCUGAAUCCUACCCAGGUCCAGGUCCACCUCCUGCCUUCCUGGUUUCCCAUCACACCCUGACCACCUGCUUGUCUGAACCCCAAAGGCGGCCCCGCACAAAGGCCCUUCAGCUUCCUUGUCAUGUUUGGCUUGUGGGUUGUCCUGUGCUGUUUUUAUGUCUCCAGGUGCGUAGUUAGUUAAUUCCCUGACAUCCCAGGCUCCACCCAGAUCUUCCAUAGUGUGCGGAACUGAACUUCCUGUGACGCUGGGGACACUUAAACUUCAGGGCCUGCCAUCAGCACAGUGUGAUUACGCGGUCAUAUGUUUUCAUAUCAUUGGUGAAUAGCCUCCGCCUCCACACGGUUCCUUGACCUACCACGUUGGACAGCUUCAGCGAUGCCCACCCUGACUCGGCCAUAAGGGGCAGCCAACCCCCCAACCCACAUUACGCACUUCCAUGGAGGUCAUUCUGUUUUAUCGUCUCAUAGACAUUAUCAUCCCCAUUUUAAAGCAACCAAUGAAAACCCAGGUUUGCCAAGAUUCGGCAAUGUCAUAUAUGGUGUGAUCUACUGUUGAAAUUUGAACUCCCUCAAGCUGGCGGUUUGCGUGGUAUCUGACAGUGUUGAGUAUCCUGAUGUGUUCCUGGAUAAUUAAAAAUAUCCCUCGGUGCCCUUGUGGGUUCCCCGUGGCAUCCUGGAGUUCCUUGGCACACAGUUUGGGGACUGCAGAAAUAUAUUCUCUUCCAUUUUGUUGAAACAAACUGUCUUCUUCAUUUGCCCCUUUUGGUCUAGCUUUCGAUCGACACAUGAGAAAUAUUUCUCUUCUCUCUUGACUGUAGCAAAAGAUAACCAGCCCGACAGCAUGAUGAAUAGCAACUGGCCGUCAACCUCAGUUCCAGGGGAGCUGGGGCACAAGCUCUGUCUAAAGAGGGCAGCUUCACCUCAGCUCCAUCCAUAAAGCCUGAUGGAAAUGAGGUGGCAACAUGUUUUAAAGGAAAGCAGAAAAUACAGACUAUUUAUGUGAAGUAUCCCAACAUUCAGAUACCAGCAACUAAUUCUAACGUAUUAUUUAUAAAUAUGGGUAAGUCAGUACUAUGCUACCCCAAACAAAAUCAAAUCUACAGGUGGUGUUUUGCUUGAGAGUCACCAGCUUGGGACACGUUAUUAUGUAACUAUUAAGAAUGACAUUUCUGCUAAUCACAAGGACACAUGUUCAUGGUUUAUUUAGUAAAAAAGAGGUAACUAACAAAAAGCAUGAUGCCUUUCUUGACCAUCAUCAAAAAGUCUACAAAUAAUAAAUACUGGAGAGGGUGCAGAGAAAAGGGAAUCCUUCUACACUGUUGGUGGGAAUAUAAAUUGGUGCAGCCACUAUGGAGGACAAUAUGGAGAUUCCUUAAAAAGCUAAAAACAGAAUUAGCAUGUCAUCCAGCAAUCCCACUCCUGGGCAUAUAUCCAGAAAAAGACAAAAACUCUCAAUUUGAAAAGAUGCAUGCAUCCCAAUGUUCAUAGCAGCACUGUUUGCAAUAGACAAGACAUAGACGCAACCUAAAUGUCCACCAACGGAUGAAUGAAAAAAGAAGAUAUGGUACAUAUAUAUACAAUGGGAUAUUACUCAGCCAUAAAAAAGAAUGAAAUAAUGCCAUUUGCAGCAACAGGGAUGGACCUAGAGAUUAUCAAAUUCAGUGAAGUUAGUCAAUCAAAGACAAAUAUCAUAUGACAUCACUUGUAUUUGGAAUCUGAAAAAAUGAUACAAAAGAACUUAUUUGCAAAACAGAAUAGACUCACAGAUAUAGAGAACAAAUUUAUGGUAACCAAAGGGGAAAGAUGGGGGAGGGAUAAAUUAGGAGUUUAGAAUUAACAGAUACACACUGCUAUAUAUAAAAUAGAUAAGCAACAAGGUCCUACAGUAGAGCACAGGGAACUAUGUUCAAUAUCUUGUAAUAACCUAUAAUGGAAAAGAAUCUGAAAAAGAAUAUGUAUAUAUGUAUAACUGAAUCACUCUGCUGUACAUCUGAAACAUUGUAAAUCAACUAUACUUCAAUAA
This is a long non-coding RNA of Camelus dromedarius (Arabian camel), 6114 nucleotides long. RefSeq lists it as uncharacterized. The record is from RefSeq and is a predicted model, not a curated record. Lineage: Eukaryota; Metazoa; Chordata; Mammalia; Artiodactyla; Camelidae. The transcript is spliced from 8 exons.